RNAcentral lists this ribosomal RNA (525 nucleotides) under uncultured bacterium. RNAcentral's name for it is "bacterial SSU rRNA". It matches the Rfam family "Bacterial small subunit ribosomal RNA", at positions 791 to 1319 of the family's 1533-position model. The record is from RNAcentral.
UAGUCCACGCCGUAAACGAUGGUCACUCGCUGUCGGCGAUACAUAGUCGGCGGCCGAGCGAAAGUAUUAAGUGACCCACCUGGGGAGUACGCCGGCAACGGUGAAACUCAAAGGAAUUGACGGGGGCCCGCACAAGCGGAGGAACAUGUGGUUUAAUUCGAUGAUACGCGAGGAACCUUACCCGGGCUUGAAUUCGUGGCGACCGCCGGUGAAAGCCGGUUUCCCUUCGGGGCGCCGCGGAAGGUGCUGCAUGGUUGUCGUCAGCUCGUGCCGUGAGGUGUCGGGUUAAGUCCCAUAACGAGCGCAACCCCUACUGUCAGUUGCCAGCGCGUAAAGGCGGGGACUCUGGCGGGACUGCCACCGUAAGGUGCGAGGAAGGCGGGGAUGACGUCAAAUCAGCACGGCCCUUACGGCCUGGGCUACACACGUGCUACAAUGGAACGCACAGAGGGCAGCGAAGGCGCGAGCUGGAGCGAAUCCCACAAAACGUUUCGUAGUCCGGAUUGGAGUCUGCAACUCGACUCC